This 478-nucleotide ribosomal RNA is filed under the name uncultured bacterium. Its description in RNAcentral is "bacterial SSU rRNA". It matches the Rfam family "Bacterial small subunit ribosomal RNA", at positions 29 to 511 of the family's 1533-position model. The record is from RNAcentral.
AGUGAACGCUGGCGGCGUGCUUAACACAUGCAAGUCGAACGAGAACGGAUUAUAGCUUGCUAUAAUUGUCAGCUAAGUGGCGCACGGGUGAGUAAUGUAUAGAUAACCUGCCCUUAAGAAAGGAAUAACAGUUGGAAACGACUGCUAAUGCCCUAUAUGCCUUUAAUACAUAAGUAUGCAAGGGAAACGCUUUAGUGCUUAAGGAUGGGUCUGUAUGGUAUCAGCUUGUUGGUGAGGUAAUGGCUCACCAAGGCUAUGACGCCUAACUGGUUUGAGAGGAUGAUCAGUCACACUGGAACUGAGACACGGUCCAGACUCCGUACGGGAGGCAGCAGGUGGGGAAUAUUGCACAAUGGAACGAAAGUCUGAUGCAGCAACGCCGCGUGGAGGAUGACACUAUUUCGGUGACGUAAACUCCUUUUAUAUAGGAAGAUAAUGACGGUACUAUAUGAAUAAGCACCGGCUAACUCCGUGCCAG